CAGAAGACCCAAACAUACAACUUAAUGAUGACCAAACCGGGCAGCCUUCUUCUGAUGGUUAAAACUGUUUUUCUAUCUUUUUGCUACCAUUAUCAUAUGUAUCUUUGUAUCAACUUUUGUAUCUUUGACAACUUAGUUAUCGGCUUUAAUUUGUAUCUUUUGCUACCAUUAUCAACUUUUGUAUCUUUGAAAACUAGUUCUGAUUUUCAGUUAAGUUUCUGUUAUGUUCUUUACACCCAUUAUAUUUGACAAUCAAACACAGAUAGAAUUCUUAAAAAUACAAACUAUUAAAGCCAAUAACAUGUCUUACAAACACAAGAUACUAAAGAAAUUAACAUAAGUCUUAAAAAACACACAAAAUAUUACAGCCGAUAACAUAAGUCUUACAUGAGUACAUAAGCAUAAUACACAAAAGAGAUAGGCAACCAGUAGCAUAAACAACAUCAAUACUUGGACAUCACCAUAAUACUUGCAAUGACCACAGAAAAACCAAUCGAUGAAGCCACAAGUACAUUACGAAGAACAGCACUUCUCUCCCUUAGAAUCAACACAUCUCUCUUCAAAGCUUUAACUUCUUCACUUUUUUCAUUCAUUCUCUCCACUAAUUCACUCGAAAUCUCCAAAUUUUCAGAGUCAUGAGUUAGAGGUCUUACCUUCUCCCUCAACUUCGCGAUUUCCUCUUUUUUCUCUCGGAUUAUAUCCCUAGCUUCCAGAAGUGCUAGAUGCUGCCCACCAUGAGGAUCCUCCACAUCAUACCAUCGAAAAAAGUUGCAGGACUCGUACCCAUUACCAACGCGACGUCUUUUGCAACAUAGGAAUCUUCACCCUGGAUUCUCUCGGGUCAAAGCUCUCUUGAUCUUCGUUGGGCGAUUACAUUGGCAAGCAACACCAUUGUAUUUUGAUGUUGAAAUCGAACUCUGAGACAUUUUUCUUCUCUCUCCCUCCGCGAAAACCUCUGUCUAUUUUUACUCUCAU
This 975-nucleotide long non-coding RNA is filed under the name Brassica napus (rape). RNAcentral describes it as "long non-coding RNA (BNAP_LNC017678)". The record is from RNAcentral. Lineage: Eukaryota; Viridiplantae; Streptophyta; Magnoliopsida; Brassicales; Brassicaceae.